Molecule: ribosomal RNA, 2079 nt
Filed under: Triticum aestivum (bread wheat)
Lineage: Eukaryota; Viridiplantae; Streptophyta; Magnoliopsida; Poales; Poaceae
Description: partial small subunit ribosomal RNA
Source: RNAcentral
AUGCUACCGCGCUGCUGGUGGUUUCACAGUCCGGGCGGGACCACCUUUGUCAUCUCCACCGCGGCGUCGCGCCGUCUCUCCGGUAGCGCUCGGGGGCUCGACUUCAACCCGUCCCCGGAGCGGCCGCGCGGGACGGCGCGUCAUCGUCGCCGGCCUCGCCAUCUUCGUCGUCACCACGACGUCGUCACUUCUCCGGCGCCGGUCGAGAGCUCGACAUCAGCACACCCUCGGCGCGUCCGUGCUGGGCGGUGCAUCUUCAUCACCACCGUUGCGACGCCGGUUGUCCGUCCACGCACGCGCUGCGCGCGCGGUUCCUCGCUUCGGUCGGCCGUAUUCAUGCACGCGCCGCGCCGCAUCGCUCGCAUCUGCUCCCCUCCGCGUUGUGCCUUGCUCCGGCCGAUGCAUGUGUUCGCUCCUCCACAUAUCAUCUUUGCAAGCUGGCUAAAUGCAAGUCAACAAUGGUCAAACAAUUACCCAUACCAUUGGCCAGACACUAUGCCUAGAUAUUCCCCAGAUUAUGCCCAUACGCUAGCCGGAUACGAGUCGGAUGUGUAUGUAGAAUGGUCAGAUAAUGGACAUAGGUACAGGCUCGCCUCCGCUCUUCUCUGCUCCGCGCGCUGCUUCAGCCCCGCCACUCCCUUCUCGCGGCCACGCGUUGCGGCAGCCCCUGAGUGCCGGUCCGCUGCUCCGCAAGCUGCUCCGGCAACGAGCUGCUACCCUGCUCGCCUCCCCAUCUGCUGCGCGCCAUCAUGGCCGCACCUAGCAACCACGGGGACGACUCCCGUAUCCCAUGGCCGUCACUCCACCGUGCGCGCCCCGCCCAGGCUCCCUGCUGCUUCGCCGCUCCAGACUAGUGCGCGGGCCGCUCCGUCACCGCACGCCUGCACCGUGGCAGGCUUCCCUGGACCACCCCUCGGCCACGAACGAGCUGCACCGGGCGCUCCCACGAGCCCCGCGCCAACCUGCGCCGCCUUUCGUUGCUUCUGCGCCGGCUGCUCGCUGCUCCCGCACCGGCUGCUGAGCGCCGCACCCGGCCCCGCCUGGCCUUCGCCGGCUCCGACGCGGGCCGUGUGCGCCGGUCGUCCGCGCCGUCUGCGCCCGCGCGUGGCUGGGUUCUCCACCCCGCCGACUCCGCCUUGCCGCGCCCACGCUGGGUGCUCCCCCUCUCGCGCGUCGGCCCCGCCGUUCGUCGUUGGCCGGGUCCGCCUCCACGCGCACUGGCCGGCUCCCCCGCUCCCUCGCUGCGUGGCUGCUGCGUUUCGUCCGCCUGCUGAACGCGCCUCCCGCAUCCCGUCCGCCUGCUGGCCCCCGGCCGCGCCCGGCCGCCUCUGUCUCGCGCGCACACCGGGCGCCCUCCGUCGCGCCCGGCUCCGGCUGUGUCGCGCUUGCCCGGCCUCUCCAGCAGCCGGCUUCGCCGCCGUGCGGCCCCGAGCGCCGCGCCGGCUCCGCCUCCGCCGGGUGCGCCUGCGGCCGGCUCCCUCCCGCGUCGCCCGGCUCUGUCCGCGCGACCGGCUUCACCAGCGCCUGGCGCCCGAGUCGCCCUCCCCUCCGCUCCGCCCUGGCCGCAACUCGGAUCAGGGUGCAUGGCUCACCGUCCGGCUCCCCCGCUGGCCCACUCGCCGCCUCACCUCCGGGCGCCCGGGAGCGCCUCAGCCGGCUCCCGCUGUUCGCUGCCGCAACCUGUCGACGUCGUUCGGGCAGCCGAGAAAAAGAAAGAAAAGAAAGAAGGGUCCAGCUCCCCGCGUGGAGUCGGACAGAAAAAGAAAAAAGAAAAGAGAGAGGACGGCCGGGGCAAGAAAGAAAAGGGCCGCCUGCCCAAGGGCCAGCUGGAAGAAAAGUCAACCGCCGGCUGCCAAGGAAAAGUGUGGCCGACUGGUGGCGCCGGCUGCUCCCGUGCGACCGGUUAAAAAAAUCAAGGGCUGUGUACUCAGCCGACUGGCUAAGAAAAAAGUACGUCCGGCUUCCCACAUGGAGUCAGAUAAAAAGAAAGUGAGAAAGAUGUGCGUCCGACCGCUGACUGUCAGGCCAGCUGCAAAGAACCCGACUGCUGUGUCGGAGUCCGCUUGCCCAGCCACCUGA